CGCCCCACGCUAGCCCACAGCACGCUGAUUGGUCAGAUCGACUGUCAAUCGGAAAAGCCAGAAGGCGGGGCUUUAGAGCCGUGAGAAGGCGGAAGUUCGCCUUCGCCUGGAAGGAAGUGCUUCUGGGGAGCCGGGGGCACAGAGUAGAGGAGGGGUUUGCCAGGGUCGCAGAGGCUCUCUACGUACAAAACGGGCGAAAGGUUGACGGGAAGAGGCCGCGUGCUAACCUGGCUAGGCCCUGGCAACUGGGGAACACAGAUCAGCAAGACCCAGGCACUACUCACAGGAAGUUCAACCAAGUGGAUACAGUUCAAAUCACAGCAUCACAACACACCUUGAUAAACCCUGUGCAGAUUUAGAGAGGAGUGAGGAACCAGGUGAAAUCAAAAGGUGUCCAAGCAUGGGUUAUGAUUGGCAGGUGUGAAGAACUUAUAGAAAUUCACCAGGAAGCAGAGGUAGGGAACAACAAGAGAAAUGAACUAAGUAAGAAAGAAAGAACAAAAUGGAUUAUUUUCUGUAAUUACAACUAUGGAAAAAUCACA
This is a long non-coding RNA of Myotis brandtii (Brandt's bat), 542 nucleotides long. RefSeq lists it as uncharacterized. The record is from RefSeq and is a predicted model, not a curated record. NCBI's taxonomy places the organism in Eukaryota, Metazoa, Chordata, Mammalia, Chiroptera, Vespertilionidae. The transcript has 2 exons.